CCAGUGCCAGGGAUCAGGGGUAAGGAGAACGGAGAAUGACUACUUAACAGGUACAGGGUCUCCUUUUUUGGAGUGAUAAAAAUGUUCUGGAAUUUGAUAGUGGUGAUGGUUGCAUAACAUUGUGAAGGUACUGAAAGUCACUGAAUUAUACAGUUUGAAAUGAUUUAUUUCCCUCCAGAACCUGACCAUGCUGGCACCCUGAUCUCAGACUUCCAGCCUCCAGAACUGUAAGGAAAUCAAUUUCUGUUGUGCAAGCCACCCAGUCUGUGGUAUUUUGUUACGGCAGCCUGAGCUGACGAAGACGAAGGGAGAUCUGUAGAAGAUACAAAGAGCACAGAGAAGAAUGGAGCCUCACAGCUCUGGGGAAAUCAAGAAAGCCUUCGUUGAGAAGAUGAUCUUGCAUUGAGUUCUCCAGGAGUUUAAGAUUCUUUGCUGCCAUUUCUAGGGAUAUGCGGCAGGAGUGGAUACAGCUUUGUGUUCUCAGAGAACCAUCUUGAUCCAUUUGCUGGAGCAUUCCUUGUUGAAGGCAAAAGCUGGACAGAUGCUCCAGGAUGUAUAGGAUGAGACUUGACCAGGAGAUCUGACUCGGGAGGAGGGAACUUGGCUGUGGAAACUCCAGAUCACAUAGAUAGAGAGAGAAGCUGGGGAUCUAGUGAUGAACAACACAGAAAUCCAUCUAUUCAUGGAGUUUGUAUUCCAGAGCAUGGUGAAACUCAAUUCAAAGAAUCGUAGAAGGGAAGCUGAAAAGAAGACAAAGACUCAAGUUGGAACGUUCUUUCACUAACUCUGGA
RNAcentral lists this long non-coding RNA (791 nucleotides) under Equus caballus (horse). RNAcentral's name for it is "lncRNA (ENSECAG00000053573.1)". The record is from RNAcentral. Lineage: Eukaryota; Metazoa; Chordata; Mammalia; Perissodactyla; Equidae.